AGCGAACGCUGGCGGCAGGCUUAACACAUGCAAGUCGAACGGGCGUAGCAAUACGUCAGUGGCAGACGGGUGAGUAACGCGUGGGAACGUACCUUUUGGUUCGGAACAACACAGGGAAACUUGUGCUAAUACCAGAUAAGCCCUUACGGGGAAAGAUUUAUCGCCAAAAGGUCGGCCCGCGUCUGAUUAGCUAGUUGGUGAGGUAACGGCUCACCAAGGCGACGAUCAGUAGCUGGUCNGAGAGGAUGAUCAGCCACAUUGGGACUGAGACACGGCCCAAACUCCUACGGGAGGCAGCAGGUGGGGAAUAUUGGACAAUGGGCGCAAGCCUGAUCCAGCAACGCCGCGUGGAGGAUGAAGGUCUUCGGAUCGUAAACUCCUGUCAGACGGGACGAAGGUAGCGGGGCAAAUAGUCCUGCUGCUUGACGGUACUGUCAGAGGAACGCCCCGGCUAACUCCGUGCCAGCAGCCGCGGUAAU
RNAcentral lists this ribosomal RNA (479 nucleotides) under uncultured bacterium. RNAcentral's name for it is "bacterial SSU rRNA". It matches the Rfam family "Bacterial small subunit ribosomal RNA", at positions 29 to 524 of the family's 1533-position model. The record is from RNAcentral.